GUGAGGAGAAAUACUUGAACACAUAUAUGUUCACGUUUUCACAGGUAUACACAAGCAAUUUUACAAGUAGUUAUUUUUAUCCACUUAUUUUCACUUGUCUAGCUCUUUUUAAACAACUAUGCUUCCUUGCUCUGAAAUGUGUUUGUUUAAUCUGGUUGUACACAAUGCAGCCAAAUGCAAUGUUAUACAAGUGUAAUAAUAGUAUUUAUGGAUGCAUCUUAUAUAUUAUUUAUACAGUCUCACCAAAAAUGUUUUUUAGCUAACUGUACUAAACUAAACUCUUCAAUGAAAACUAUGUUUUGUGGAGCUUUUCAUUACUCUCUCACCUCCAUCACACCAGCAAUUUCAGUGGCAGUUUUCUCUCCAUUACUACUGCUAUUACACAGAGAAACCCUGUCAGAGAAGCCUGUCUUUGCAGGUAGCUCAUUGACUAUGCAGACAGUUAGUCACCAUCCAGGCUUAUAACAUUAAAUAGUUAUUUUGUGCAAUUACACAGAACAACCUAAACAACUCUUCUGGUUUGUCUCCUUUCAUAGAGCCUGCUGGAGUACAUAAUUGCUUUUUGAAGCUGGAAUGCAGAGAAUGAACUGAAUGUUUUCUUCCUGGUUUGUGCUUGUAUUUGUUUACAAAGCCUUGUUGAAGUCAUCGUCUACCAAGGACUAAGAAAGAAAUGAGUGCUUUUCAAAAUCCUCCAAGAUAAUUUGCUACUUGAUGCUGUUUUGAGGCUUUAUUUGCACGGAGACCGUCGAGACACCUCGAGAUGAAGUAAAAGCUGUCACCAUACACACAGUACUGUGCUGGAGCUGGAGGAUCAUACCCUGCCUGCCCGCCAGCCUCUCUGCCAUGUUUACCUCCAGCCAUUGACCUCUGCUCUGCCUCGUCACAUCAGCCCACAGCUUCCCUCAUUUCCCCUCUGCCUCCAUCAUCUGGAUCUUCCUCUCAACCUCAUUAAUUUCCUUGGAAAACUGAACAAUAAAUUAUUUCUUUAGGAAAUCCACUCCCUGUCUUUGUCUUUGUCCGCAUUUGAGUCCCACCUUAGGGAAAGAGACUUUGAGCUUAGGUAAUGUAAGGAGUAAUGGUCCCUUUUCUGUUCGGAAACUCAUAACUGCUU
Long non-coding RNA from Siniperca chuatsi (mandarin fish), 1111 nucleotides. RefSeq lists it as uncharacterized. Lineage: Eukaryota; Metazoa; Chordata; Actinopteri; Centrarchiformes; Sinipercidae. The transcript is spliced from 3 exons. The record is from RefSeq and is a predicted model, not a curated record.